Planococcus citri (citrus mealybug) is the source of this 1121-nucleotide long non-coding RNA. RefSeq lists it as uncharacterized. Lineage: Eukaryota; Metazoa; Arthropoda; Insecta; Hemiptera; Pseudococcidae. The record is from RefSeq and is a predicted model, not a curated record. The transcript has 3 exons.
UUACCUUUUCGCUCCCCAAGGGGAAAAAAAUUGUUUGGGUUUGGUUCUCGCGGAAAUUUCCAUUAGGAAUAGGAAAAGUGUCCUCUUAUCCAUUGAGAUCUGUGACAUGUGUCAAUAAUUCGUCUUUUCAAUGAAAUAUAGUUUGCAGGAAAGACCUUAAUCCUAUAAUUAUUUAAAAUAGGUACAUCAAAACAUCGUGGUGAUAAUUUUAGGUAGGUGAGCAUGCAUGUGUCACUACGUGUCGUCAAUUAGGUACCCAUUUUAUUGAUUGUAAACUAAUAUUCAUGUGAUUAAAAUGUUUACAACUCCCAUAAGUCUAUAGGAUAUCCUGAAAUCAAUUUUUCCCCAACUGUUUUGUCUCGUCAAUCAUCAUUUAGUACACAUUAGAAUAGGUACUUGAAACAUGAUGAAAAUCAUGUUAAUGCGUAGUAUACUUCUAAUAACAGAUAUCAUUCACCUAAAUGGAUCACCACAACACAUAUUCGGGGUAGGAAAAAUUGUUUAAAACUUAUUAGGUAGUUACUUAGGUAUUGGUUUGAUUUUUCAAAACUUACAGGAAGUUCAAUAUCUGGUAAGAGUGGUAAAUGUAACAAUAGUGGACUCGAAAGGUGAACUAGCGAUUAUCGAGGAAAAGUGGCGAAGGAAAGAAUUCGCGCAAAUUUAUUCAGCUGCUAUCAAAAUAUCUAAACCUUUUGUGCUGCGUCAGGUUUUAAUUCGUUUCGAAAGAUGUGUUGAUUUGGAACUAGCCUGUGAAAAUUUCCAAACCUGGAACUUCAGCAGUGCACUUUUUUGUAACGCGAUCAAGAUGAAAAAUCAAAUGUGGUCACCAUUGAUAUCUUCCAUAAAGCCACCAACUUUCUUGCAGAAUUGUCCACGAUUCAAUCAUCAGGGUAUCAUAAAAAUGGAAAAUGUAUUUGUUGAUAUUAAUUCAGUCAUCAAAUUUUACAACGAAGCAUCCAAAUACUAUUGGAAAGUACAUACUUUUUAUUAUAAUUCAAGCAAUGAAAUUGAGAUGCAAGCUUUCUUGCAUGCUUUUUUUGUAAGAUACACUAAACGUACCUAAUUUUAAUGAGUAGGUAAACAAUUAAACAGAGUUUACGACAGGAAUACAUAAAUUGAAA